Molecule: ribosomal RNA, 476 nt
Filed under: uncultured Spirochaetota bacterium
Lineage: Bacteria; Pseudomonadati; Spirochaetota
Description: bacterial SSU rRNA
Rfam family: Bacterial small subunit ribosomal RNA
Source: RNAcentral
AGAGUUUGAUCCUGGCUCAGAACGAACGCUGGCGGCGCGUUUUAAGCAUGCAAGUCGAACGGUAAUAGAGUGCUUGCACUCUAUGAGAGUGGCGAACGGGUGAGUAACACGUAGAUAAUCUGCCUUUGGAUUGGGGAUAGCAUAUGGAAACAUGUGGUAAUACCGAAUAAGCUCCUAGCAACAGAAGUUGUAUGGAGGAAAGGUGCUUAGGCACCGUCCGAAGAUGAGUCUGCGGUUCAUUAGCUAGUUGGUGGGGUAAAGGCUUACCAAGGCAACGAUGAAUAGCCGGCCUGAGAGGGUGGACGGCCACACUGGGACUGAGACACGGCCCAGACUCCUACGGGAGGCAGCAGCUAAGAAUCUUCCGCAAUGGGGGAAACCCUGACGGAGCGACGCCGCGUGAACGAUGAAGGCGGAAACGUUGUAAAGUUCUUUUCUUGGGGAGGUAUAGGUCUAUCAGGUAAUGGGUGGAUGAU